UCUCCCUCUGAUUGGCUAGUAAUCCUGAUUGGCGCCAGAGCUAUGUAUUGGUGUUUAGGAAUGAGGACCGUCAGAGUUAGGGUCAGGGGUUAGCCAAUCAGAACCAGAGUAGGGGGCGGGCAUUGUCAUCAUCGCGGGAAUCCUGACACGCUCCACAACAGCUGAUGCUCCUGGACAGGUUGGAGUAACCAGCAUCCCUCCACUCACCAACCCUCCAUCAUCCCUGCCAACCAGCCACCCAUCAGCCAACUGGCCGCUUGUCCUCUCAAACAACCCUCCACCAGUCCUGCCAUGCAGCCUCCCAGUGCCAUGUUGAAUCAGGAAGCAACCAUUCAAUCACUGGAGGAGAGAAGUAUUACCCGGUGAAGAAGGGGAACGUAAUGGAACUGGUGGAGCGGGAGCCCUGUUCCAUGUGUGGGAAGACGUGGCGCUUGCAGUGUGUGCCAAAGGAGAACACCGGGAGUUGACAUACAUACACACAACAUGAAUAUACACAAAACGCAUACACACACACAAAUGUGACAUAAAAG
Hippoglossus stenolepis (Pacific halibut) is the source of this 530-nucleotide long non-coding RNA. RefSeq lists it as uncharacterized. The transcript has 5 exons. NCBI's taxonomy places the organism in Eukaryota, Metazoa, Chordata, Actinopteri, Pleuronectiformes, Pleuronectidae. The record is from RefSeq and is a predicted model, not a curated record.